Balaenoptera musculus (blue whale) is the source of this 270-nucleotide long non-coding RNA. RefSeq lists it as uncharacterized. The transcript is spliced from 3 exons. The record is from RefSeq and is a predicted model, not a curated record. NCBI's taxonomy places the organism in Eukaryota, Metazoa, Chordata, Mammalia, Artiodactyla, Balaenopteridae.
UUCGGCAAUCUUCGAAACAGCAGAAAAAACUGGCACAGUCCUUGCCGUCCAGACACUCAUACCCAUAUUCUUCAUCUCUCUCUUGAAGGAAUCCAAGUGUUUCUAUCUCUGCAACAAAAUCCACUCCACAAUAGAGAGGACCAGAGGGCUUUGUCCUAAGCCAGUCCUCACAUCCUUGUUUCUACUGGCAGGGUGCCAUACUCCACCAAAGCAGAGAAGACAAAGAUGAAGCAAACAGAUACGAAGAGGUCCAUUGCCGUGACAUAGGAG